RNAcentral lists this transfer RNA (69 nucleotides) under Camelops cf. hesternus PDH-2015. RNAcentral's name for it is "tRNA-Ser". It matches the Rfam family "tRNA". From Rfam's summary of the family: Transfer RNA (tRNA) molecules are approximately 80 nucleotides in length. The record is from RNAcentral. Lineage: Eukaryota; Metazoa; Chordata; Mammalia; Artiodactyla; Camelidae.
GAGAAAGUCAUAGUGGCUAUGGGGUUGGCUUGAAACCAGUCGGAGAGGGUUCGAUUCCUUCCUUUCUUA